UUUGGUUUCGCAAAUUAGUUUGCAAAUAACAAAACGUUUCAAAUCUAACUUCUUUAAAUAAUAGUGCUACACACUUAGUUUUUAUUUCUGCAGCUCGGCAAAAAUUCGCACAGCCGUGCGCCAGCAAAAUAAAAAACUGAUAUUUCAACAGAAAUGACGUUUGUUACCUGAUUUUCGGCAAAAUAUUUGCUGAUUUUCAGCAAUUUUGACAGAAAUCUCGGCAAAAAACAUGGUUGCUGGGGCACGGCUGGGCGAAUCUCGGUAAAAGUUGACCAUUUUGCUGAGAUCCCGGUAAAAAAAAUUAAGUGUGUAGUAAUAGUUCAGAGCAGCAAGUGUUUCUUUCGCUCCUAUGUUAAUACCAGGCGUGAUCAACACACCUUUGGAAAGAAGUGACAAGCAAACAUCCCAGGCUGGCGAAUAGUGUUAAAGUCAACCGAAAUAUGUGCGCGAUAGUGACGUUGAUUGUACCAACUUUAUCAGAAUAAAUUGAUUUCCGAACAGACAGCGAUGUGACAGUUUUGGACUGAAUGACGGAGCAGGCAAAAUUCAACCAACAAAGUGUAUUCCGCGGGACCCUACACCAAGGCAGGCGAUUCCAUAGGAAAAAAAUAAAUGAAUGUCGACGGAAGGAUGUCGUCAAACAAUGUGGAUUGCAAUUGCAAAAAGAAACGGGACCACAUGAUGAGAUGGUGGCGAGCCACAGUAAGACUCCGAGAUCAGUGCGACUAUUCAAGUGUUGUGGGCAACGCUAUUGCGAUCGGUCCGUGUUGCAGUGGAGUGAAAAUCGGCUGCAGUAUCUGACCAAAAUGUUUAAUGAAUUUUUAUUCCAGAACAAAAUAAUGAUUCGUUCCUAUCUAGCCGAUAAAUUAAAUUAAUAAAGAAUCGUACCCCAAAGACAACAUAGGAUGGAUUCAAAAUAAGAACAAUUAAAUGUCUGGAUCCACAAUUAUUACAGAUUAAUCUACCCCUAUGAAGUAAUAAAUUUAAGUUGGAAAUAAAGAAUAAAGAACAUUAUGAAAUUAUAACAAUAAUUAUUUAUUAUAAUUGUAGAAAAUACAUUGGGAUAAAGCAAAGCAAUGCCAAAUUUUUGCCUCUCUGUAUUAAAAACGUGUUUUCGGAUUGUGGGGCAUGAUUUCAAUUUCACAGCUCUACAAUUAAUUUCGGAAGUUCGAACUUUUCAUUUUGAAAGUAGAUAAUGGGUGACUUUUGAAUCGACAGUGAAUUGAUUUUUCUACUCUCUACUAGAUAGUAUCAAUGGAAUUUUUUUUUUGGGAUAAUACUGAGUUACUUGCUCUAGUCUGCCAUCAUAUAGGUAUGUAAAAGCUAAUGACAUGAUUUUAAUAG
This is a long non-coding RNA of Armigeres subalbatus, 1344 nucleotides long. RefSeq lists it as uncharacterized. NCBI's taxonomy places the organism in Eukaryota, Metazoa, Arthropoda, Insecta, Diptera, Culicidae. The record is from RefSeq and is a predicted model, not a curated record. The transcript has 2 exons.